GCCCAGAAGCGGGGGAUAACACCUGGAAACAGAUGCUAAUACCGCAUAACAACUUGGACCGCAUGGUCCGAGCUUGAAAGAUGGCUUCGGCUAUCACUUUUGGAUGGUCCCGCGGCGUAUUAGCUAGAUGGUGGGGUAACGGCUCACCAUGGCAAUGAUACGUAGCCGACCUGAGAGGGUAAUCGGCCACAUUGGGACUGAGACACGGCCCAAACUCAUACGGGAGGCAGCAGUAGGGAAUCUUCCACAAUGGACGAAAGUCUGAUGGAGCAACGCCGCGUGAGUGAAGAAGGGUUUCGGCUCGUAAAACUCUGUUGUUAAAGAAGAACAUAUCUGAGAGUAACUGUUCAGGUAUUGACGGUAUUUAACCAGAAAGCCACGGCUAACUACGUGCCAGCAGCCGCGGUAAUACGUAGGUGGCAAGCGUUGUCCGGA
RNAcentral lists this ribosomal RNA (435 nucleotides) under Lactiplantibacillus plantarum. RNAcentral describes it as "bacterial SSU rRNA". It matches the Rfam family "Bacterial small subunit ribosomal RNA", at positions 128 to 549 of the family's 1533-position model. The record is from RNAcentral. Lineage: Bacteria; Bacillati; Bacillota; Bacilli; Lactobacillales; Lactobacillaceae.